UGGGGGUGUAGCUCAGUGGUAGAGCAUUUGCCUAGCAUACAAGAGUCCCUGGGUUCAAUCCCCAGCACCACAA
Non-coding RNA from Sciurus carolinensis (gray squirrel), 73 nucleotides. Lineage: Eukaryota; Metazoa; Chordata; Mammalia; Rodentia; Sciuridae. The record is from the annotation of a RefSeq genome assembly.